Long non-coding RNA from Cyprinus carpio (common carp), 2598 nucleotides. RefSeq lists it as uncharacterized. NCBI's taxonomy places the organism in Eukaryota, Metazoa, Chordata, Actinopteri, Cypriniformes, Cyprinidae. The record is from RefSeq and is a predicted model, not a curated record. The transcript has 3 exons.
UAUUGCGUUCAGGAUAAACACUUCAGUAUUUUGUCCUGCCGUGUCAUAUUUUCUAAUGUUACGAUUGCACCGCUGUCUUAAUAUUUUUCAUAAGUGUUUCCAUUUCCUCUUGUUUUAGGCCUAUUCUGGAGAAAAUGAACCUGCUGGGGAAGGACUUAAAAAAUACAAACUUAGGUUUAACAUCAGACAAACAACAACAGUUUUGUGCCCAGCGCUGCCUCCAUGUGUUCUGGGGUCUUCGUGAGGUGAAUCUUGGUGAACGGCCAGCACCUCCUCAGAGACUCGGAGGAUAAAACCUGGUGGAACAACUUUCAGAAAUGUGCUGAUCUCCUUCAUUUGGAGGACUGAGUCUUUGGCCAGUGGGAGACAGAAGGAGACCUCCUCCUUUGUGAGGUUCCCUACAGGUGGAAAGGAUUUUAAGGUGAAGGAGCCCCAAAUAUGAUUUUCCACUUAUGAGGAACCCCCUUCCAAAAUAAUAAAGGCAGCUCAAUAUUUUCAUUUAUAAAAGUCAAUUUGUACAGUCUGAGUAAAAUAUUAUAUUUGAUUUUAUAGAGAUUAAAUGUAUUAUUAUUGUUAUUAUUAUUACAAAUUAAAUUAUUAUUUUAAAAAAAUCUGUAAAAAUAGGGUACACUGUUCUGCAUUUAUUUGAAGGAAUUUUCUAGAUUUUUUUUUUUUUACAGGUAUUUUACCUGUAUAUUGAAUUUUACUGCAUUGCGUUGUGUUUUAAAGUUAAUGGAAAUGUUCGUAAAAUAAAUGUAUAAUGUCCUGUGUAAUGAGCUGUCAGUACUUUUUCUGUUGUUUUACGGAUUAAUUUUUACAUUACUCGUAAGGAUAUAUCAUAAUGAAUAUUUAUGUGGUCACUACGUUGUAUUAUGUUUUAUUUAAGACAAAUUAUUAAAAUAUAAUCUUUUUGUGCAAUAACCCAAAGAGAAAGAUUUUCAGUUCAGUCCAGAGCAGUGUUAGCUAAUACCAAACCCAUAAAAAACCUUUUGUUGCUAAAAAUAAAAUAAACUUGAACUAAAUUCAGAUUAAUAACCUUAAACAUAUUCUAUUUCAGCUAUUUUUCAUUUAGUUUAACUUGAUGUACUAAAAUAAUUAAAACUGAAAUAAAAAUUAAGAAAAAUAUACAGACAUAAUAAAAAAAUGAAAAUGUUAAACAUGACUAAAUUUACUAAAUUACUUAAAAAAUAAAACCAAUACUAAAUAUUAAUAAAGAAUAUAACAUUAUCCCAAAAUGAUAGUGAUUCAGAUUUAUUUGUAAAGUGCUUUUCACUGUAAUGUAUUGUUCUAAAGCAGUGUUAUAAAAUUAUUGUAUUUUAUUGAUCUUUUUGUGUGUGUGUGUGUUAACACAUCAACAUUGGCAGACAGGCCUUAAAAUAAAUUGUGUGAAAAUCUGAAAGCCUGUUAUAUUGAUAUUUGAUGUGUAUUCUUAUUACACACACAUAGUUCAUACACACUACCAGUCAAAUGUUUGAACACACACGACUGGAUUUAUGUUUCUCAUAAGCUUAAAUACUUGUGAUCUAUAAAGCUUCAGCUUAAAGAUAUACAAAGUAAUUUGUUAUUAUUUUUAUGUAUUUUUUACAUGAGCAGUAAAGGAUAAGCAGCAACAAGUUUGCAGUAUAUAUGUGAACAAUGAGAAUGAACACAAAUGAGCUCAAGUCUGUCUAAAGAAAGACAGUCACAGAUAUAAACUCUGCAUGAACUUGACAUUGGACCGUUUCGAUGAAUCAUCAAGUUCAAGCAUUCAGUCAUGUUUCCAGCCUCACUUUAUAGAAAAUGAUAGAUGGAGACAUGAAAGGCCAUACAAACACCCCCUCGCUCAACCUGAAGUCUUAUUCAUGUUCGGCCUUCAGUUACAACCGUUUUCAUCAAUCGCAAAUACAUCAGCAAAAACCACAUAUGAAUCAACCACUCCGUGAAUCAGCAAACUGAAACUUUCAGAGGCUGACAAUCAGGCCACCGGUCUAUUAAUUUGGCAUUGCACUCGAGAGCUCCUCAAGCUGAUUUAUGUAUUCUUUUGUCUUAAUAUUGAUUGUCGGAGUAGAGGAAUGUAAACACAAUGUCAAGUGAUUCAGACACAUCAAAGGCCGAACCUGGCACGAAUUCAAGAUCAAAGCCGGGCCCACCGGCAGACGCUUGGCCAGGGGCCAGUGCGCUCUAAUGAGCUAAAUUAACAUGUAUUAAUUCUGACCUUGUGAGGAGCAGACAGAUGUCUCUUAUGAGAGAGAGUUCUUUGUUCAAUACACACAUUUAAAGGGGAAGGUCUCCUGCUGUCUCCCGCCGGCCGCAUCUGAUUAUUAAAUACAAGCUCCUUCAAAUGAAGGAGUUCAUAGUAAGAACAGGGUGCAUGAGGGGUUAAAUAUUAGACAAUGCAUCACUUUAUAACAAACAACAACAACAACAACAAAAUCAUAGCAAUGAAAAAUAUAUUAAAAUAAUGUAUAAAAUUAUAUUUAUAUUACCAACCCAAAACAUUUGAAUGGUAAAGUUACUCAGUAUUAACUAAGCAUCAUAUUUUCUAAUAUUAAAUAUCAGUAAGGCUCUGAUUACCUGCAUAUAUAUAAAAUUUUAUAAAUCUAUUUAAAUUGUAUAUUU